GCCGUCCCCCGGGCUCACCUCGCCGCGGGGUGACUCAGGGCGGGGGUUUUCGGUUUCGGGGGGCACCGGCAGCCGGGCCGAGGUCCACGUGGGGCAGGGAGGCUGCUUUCGGCCUCCCCGCGGCCUCCGGCAGCUUUUACGAGAAGUUGUAAAAUCAAAAGAGAAACGCGAGCGGCGGCCGUGAGCAGAACGGCUCGUGUCCAAACACGCCUGGAGACGCGAAGGAGCGUGCUCUUCCGGCUCAUGUGAGAACAGACCUCACCUCUGCUAAAAGCAUGCUGAAUCCACAUUGACUGGAUGGCAGGAACCGCGUCAAGAGAAACAGAUCAAGUUGGAAGUCAAAGUGAACAUAGGUAUUGCAAAAACAACUCAACUGGUUAUGGCUGCAAGUUCCUGUUUAUUGUUUCCCAUGGACAAAAGACGUAGCCCAGGGAUGUGUAAUCUUGACAGCUAACAGUUUGCUCACAGCUGAAGAAAACAAAACAAAACAAAAAACUGGCUGUGGGGUCUGCAGAGUACAGCUUUCCUGAAGCAAAUCUUCCUGACCAUCUGACAAGACACUUGUUUGGCUCAGCUCAUGCUAGUGAGAAAAGCACUCUUAUGUUUGGGGAUGAAACUCUACACAAGUCCCCGGAAGAAGCCUACGCUCUUGGAUUACCAGGGGCUGGAUGAAGAGAAUUGCACCAUUUCCCAUCACUCAAGACCACCCAGCUGUCAUCAGCACCCACACUGCACAUCCGACCCACUUCUAGGUGAGUCAAAAUCCCAGAAUACUGAUUGUCCAGCAGAAGUAAUUAUUGCUUCAUUCAUCACCAGCCGGAAACAGGGUCUAAAACCUUUUGGGAACAGCCUCCAGAUGGACAUCAGUCUGGAACUGGAGUGUUCCCAAAGAUCUGAGGAGCCCUUCAAAGCCCUCAACCAAGGUGCAUUUCUGGCUCCCUAUUUCUCCUAUAAGUAGCAAACUGCUAAUUCCUAAGACAGCUCCUACUUGAACCAAAUAACUUUUGCUAAAUCUGAUGUUCAGCAUUGCUUUUACUCAAAAUAGGGGGUUAAUGCAGCAUCUCUGUAGCUCUGUGGUUAACACUUGCUGCUUUUACUGUAGAAUCCUGCAAGAAAGGACACAGGCCUCUGUUGAUACAGCUCCAAAUAAACUGUUAACCAGGUUCACUUCUUUGGCCAGGUAGGGCAUGCCUAAGAUCCUUCCUUUCCUUCCCAGCUCCCCAGGGUACUGGCAAGGUUUCGUAGAGAAGCCUGAAUGGCACAGUGUGAACUAGAUCUGCUUCAAAACAGAGCUUAUUAGUGCAGCUCACCCAUCUUUUCCAAAUAUCACAGUUGUCUUCACAUUUUGAAAAGCAAUUAAAAUCAACAGCACUGUAACAUCUCACAGCUGUAGUAAACAUUUCCUUUGGCCGUGGCAAACUGCCCUGGGGACUUUAAACCACAAACAGCAAUGCAAUUCUGCUUGCAGUGGGGAUGCGCAUUAAAGUUUGACACAAAAACUAGUUCGUGUCCCCUGUCCCCCCCCCAUUUUUUUUUCUUGUUUUUUCUUUGCAAAUCACCUGGGGAGCCACAACCUCCAGUGUGCUGAAGUUAGAAAAAGAAAGACACCUGAGCAAACCAGAGCUUGGUAUUCUGGAAUUUAUGAAAAGCAUAAAGUUUGGUAGAAGCAAGUAUUAAUCAUGGAUUGCUGAGAGUGAUGCACACCCUACAUAAUAUUCAUUUCUCACUGGCUACAGGUUUGUCUGGUUAAUCCCACACACUGAUAUUCAUUGCCUAAAUGAAUACACCCACAGCAAGAACAGAGCAAUUUUGCGGGGGAUGUUAGUUGGCAUAACUUCACUGACUGUUAACAAGUCUUCAUUCUUUAUGGACCAGUUGCCAGUCAUGGCUCUGUCCAUGAUUUAUAGGGCUUAGAAGUGCCAUCAUCAUCCUGCAAAUGAAGAGAUAGAAGCAAGAAGUGUAGAGCUUGUCUGAGGGUACUGCAAAACCAGCAACUAAACAUCUGACAGUUGCAGACCUCUAUUUACAAAUGUAAAUUGCCUGGUGGUGUCGGUCUUGUUGUGUUGAAGCAACUCUUGCAAAGUGCCCUAGCUCACAAAUAGAUGCCUUAUCUGAAAAGGACUUUUCAAGAACAGUAAGCUCUCACAGGCUGUUGUGUUUGAACUGGACAUUGUCACAGAAACGUGCCGUUCCUCAUGUUGCAUUAUACUUGUUAAACAAUUCUUCCUUCUCACUCGGAUCUGCAGUUAAGUGCCUUGCAGAAGGUUCCCAGCUCUGACUGGGUUUGUUGCCUGCAGAGGCACAGCAGGAAUUAGCCUGUGCAGAGCACCAUGUGGCAGGGGAAGGCACGCAGCUCGCCCGGCUGUCACCUCACGCACUGGGGGCAGCCCUGGGGCAGGGGUCCCUCACCUCUGCGCCGGGGCGGAUUUCAGACAUGGGAACCGUGAGCUGCUCUUAGGGCUACCCCGAGUAGCAGAAAACGCAAAACCACUGUAAUGUGCGUAAAUCCAGCGGUCGUAUGUGGAAUGGAAGCCAGUGUAAGCUUUCGAACGAGUAGAAACAGCUUGUGUCUGAAAGCUAGAGCGCUUUGAGCAGCACUCCCCUGGGAGGCUCGGA
Molecule: non-coding RNA, 2616 nt
Organism: Anas platyrhynchos (mallard)
Lineage: Eukaryota; Metazoa; Chordata; Aves; Anseriformes; Anatidae
Source: RefSeq, a predicted model, not a curated record